GUACAACUCCGUACGGGAGGCAGCAGUGGGGAAUAUUGCACAAUGGGCGCAAGCCUGAUGCAGCCAUGCCGCGUGUGUGAAGAAGGCCUUCGGGUUGUAAAGCACUUUCAGUAGGGAGGAGGUAGUGUAGUUAACACCUGCACUAUUUGACGUUACCUACAGAAGAAGCACCGGCUAAACUCCGUGCCAGCAGCCGCGGUAAUACGGAGGGUGCGAGCGUUAAUCGGAAUUACUGGGCGUAAAGCGCAUGCAGGCGGCCUGUUAAGUCAGAUGUGAAAGCCCCGGGGCUUAACCUCGGAAUUGCAUUUGAAACUGGCAGGCUAGAGUCUUGUAGAGGGGGUAGAAUUUCAGGUGUAGCGGUGAAAUGCGUAGAGAUCUGAAGGAAUACCAGUGGCGAAGGCGGCCCCCUGGACAAAGACUGACGCUCAGAUGCGAAAGCGUGGGGAGCAAACAGGAUUAGAUACCCUGGGAG
This 472-nucleotide ribosomal RNA is filed under the name uncultured bacterium. Its description in RNAcentral is "bacterial SSU rRNA". It matches the Rfam family "Bacterial small subunit ribosomal RNA", at positions 330 to 793 of the family's 1533-position model. The record is from RNAcentral.